AGGGCUGAGCUUUGCUGGCCCUCUCCUCCUGCAGGUGAGGCUCCUGGCUUCCCUCUGGCUGACCACCCCCCCCCCCCCCAGAAUUGCCCCUGUUCACACACCUCUGCCACAGGUACCCCCCUUCACACAGCCCCCCUGGGCACUGGGGACUCAUCCCAGCCUUUGGAAAACCCACCCGGUGGGAGCGACACUCCCGUGACCAUUAAUGGGGGUUUGAGAGUCACCUGGGGUGUUCAGAGCACAGAACUGUCACCUGAGACCUGCUGGCAGCUCCUGAGGAGCUUCUCCUUAUCCAGCUUCACACCCUGGCUGAGCUCUGAGAGGGUGACUCCCCUCGAGGAGGUGUCAGUACCUGCUCUCUGAGGAGGUGACAGGGGACUCCCCUCAACAAGGUGACAGUACCUGCUCUCUGAGAGGGUGAGAGGUGACUCCCCUCGAGGAGGUGACAGUACCUGCUCUCUGAGGAGGUGACAGGUGACUCUCCCCUGAGGAGGUGACAGUACCUGCUCUCUGAGGAGGUGACAGGGGACUCCCCUCAACAAGGUGACAGUACCUGCUCUCUGAGGAGGUGACAGGGGACUCCCCUCAACUAGGUGACAGUACCUGCUCUCUGAGGAGGUGACAGGGGACUCCCCUCAACAAGGUGACAGUACCUGCUCUCUGAGGAGGUGCCAGGAGCCCACACAGUGUCUGAGCCCCCCCAGGGGUGUUCCCUCCUGCCUCUCCCCCAGCCAGCACAAGGUUUCUCUCCACUGCCUCCCAUGGCUUUGCUGACCUUGGGGUUUUUCCAUCUGCUUACGUUUCCACUUCUGGAAAAAGGUUUAGUUUCUCCCCCUCGCAAGUUUUUUGUUAAAUUCUCUUCUGGAUUUUUCGGCUUUGAUUCCCUCUUAGUCUCUGCCUGCUCUGGGAAACGUGUCACAAGCUCUGGGUUAAGAUUUUGGUCGCGGGAUGAUUUGAGUUAAUAUUAAAAUGCUUUAAACCUCCGAGCGCUCGCAUUUUUGUCAGCUUAAUUGACUCUGGUUAAAUGUGAUUUAGAUGUAAUUACAACAAGAAAAAUAUUCCUUUGCCAUCCUUUCAAGAAUGAGAGUUGGCUUCAACAGUCAUUUUAUUUUUUUGGGGGGGGGAAUUGCUGGAGGAAGAUCUUUGAUCCACGUUUGCUGUGCCGAGGGCAGCUUUGUCAGCUCGCGGGUCCCAGCGAGUGUUCCCAACCUUUGUCACUCUGUAAAGCUUUAACCUCGUCAUGAAAGUUCCUGAUAGCAGCUGGGAGGAUGGUGCUGCAGCCAAUCCCACAGGCCAGGGCUCUGGAUCCUCGCUUAAACAAGCAAGAGUUGAUAGUUUGGCCUUCUCCUCUGAAGAGCCGCUCCUGGGGCUCUGCACGGCGAAUUUCCCAAAAGCUGAUGUAAAUUAGGGACUUUUUGUCCUCUCCAGACCGUGGGUUUUUUGCUGUUGAGAGGGGUGAGAGCAGGGCUGGGUUGUGCAGAGCUGUGUUCCACGUCACUGAGGGUUUCCAGGCCAGGGGAGGUGGCCCAUGCUCUGUUCCAGGUGUGUGUCCCAUGUGUGUUCACGGGCCAUUCAUCACUUCCCAGCCCAAAUCUGUUUGGUUUCUGAGCCCUUCUCACCUGCACCUGAGAUUUCAGAGCUUUGGUGUUGCCACGUGUGCCUUUGGUCUCUCUAAGGUGAGGAACAUCCUCUGCCAUCCCCAGAGCUGCUUUUAGUCCUGAUCACCUCCAGAAGCACAGAAACUGCCCCCAAAGUGUUUCAGUUUCCCUUUAGCACGGCCAUUCCUUCAAAUUUACUUUCAGGCUGAGCUCAGUGCUUCCCUCAGAGAUGUAGGUAGUGAGGCAGAGUUUAUUUUUAGAGAAGAAUGAAUCAUCUCCUGGUUGUGUCUUGUCUCAUUUUGCUUUGAUGAGAAGUGAAGUCAAAGAACUGCUGGGUCUGGGUCCCUGAGUGCACGUGGACGGGUGAUGCUCUGUCCCAGGAGGGCCCAGCAGCUGAGCAAGGUGGAGUUUGGAAGUGCUGAGCUGCAGGGACAGAGCCUGGGGGUGCAGCAGCUUCCUGGGAUUUCCCUCUCAGGUUGUUUUGUUGGAGGAUUCCUCUGAACUCCGUGAAGGGAAACUCACGUGUGUCCUUUCACCCUGAACUCUUUCCAGUCCCUUCUGUUUCCAGCUCUAUUCUUGGGCUGAGAUUAGUGAGAGGGGAAAGACUGUUGCUGUUGGGAAGUUUGAGAGCAGGAAUUGUGGUCCUUGUUUUGCUUCUCUCGUGGUUGUCUUGAACCUCUCCUGUGUUUGGAGGCUUCUUGUUACCGGACUGGGGUUUGUCCUUGCAGCCAACAGCUUUGGCACGAGGUGUGACCUUGGCAGAGGAAUUAUCUCUAAAGCUAUUGCAACUGCUUCCUUAUCCUUGUGCUUUGUGUUUGAGGCCUGGUAGUGAGCCACUCCUUAACUUCAGUACCCAGGAGGCCAGGCUCCGAAAUAUCCCACUUCCUCAUCUGGGAGUCAGUGGAUGUGAGCUGGAUUAUUGGCUUUCACCUUUUAAAGUCCAGCAGGAGUGAAGUGGAGCAUCCUUCAGUGGCUGGAGGAACUGUGUUAGUGGCUUGUGGGGCGUUUGAACUUCCUGGGGGGAGAAUUUUUGCAGAAGGGGAGUUAGUUUUGUUGUCUACGUGGAAGGAGC
This is a long non-coding RNA of Chiroxiphia lanceolata (lance-tailed manakin), 2670 nucleotides long. RefSeq lists it as uncharacterized. NCBI's taxonomy places the organism in Eukaryota, Metazoa, Chordata, Aves, Passeriformes, Pipridae. The record is from RefSeq and is a predicted model, not a curated record. The transcript is spliced from 2 exons.